This 106-nucleotide small nuclear RNA is filed under the name Cebus imitator (Panamanian white-faced capuchin). Lineage: Eukaryota; Metazoa; Chordata; Mammalia; Primates; Cebidae. The record is from RNAcentral.
GUGCUCGCUUCGCAGCACAUAUACAAACAUUGGAACGAUACAAAGAAGAUUAGCAUGGCCCCUGCGUAAGGUUGACACGCAAAUUUGGGAAGUGUUCCAUAUUUUU